CUCUGCUGCAUAGCUUUCUCUCUCAUGGAAUCCCAUUCUCUGAGAACAUUAUUAUUCCUUACAGUAAUCUUAUCACUUUUCAUUCCAAAUCCAGUAAAUGCUAAAACCAUUUGUGAGUUUCCAGCUAUAUUCAACUUUGGCGACUCGAAUUCUGAUACGGGUGGCUUGUCCGCGGCGUUCGGCCAGGCUGGGCCGCCCAAUGGAGAGUCGUACUUCCAUGGACCAGCAGGGAGGUACUGCGACGGCAGGCUGGUUAUUGAUUUUAUUGGUAAGAACUAAGAAGACCUUUUUUCUUUUGCUUGCAUAUUCAUUAAUACAAAAAGGAUAGAAUAUUUUACUGUUGAAGUUCUUGCAAAUGGUAAUCUGUGCAUGUUUGGCUAAGCUUUUAAGUAACUUCUCGCCGUCUUGUGUGCUUACUACCAAAAUAAGCCAAUUAGUUUGCUGUAAACAAUUUUGUAGCAUUUCUAUCUCAAUUAUAUUCAGAUUUUAAUUGCUGACACACUAUUGACGUCAUUUCAGCCGAGAGCUUGGGACUACCAUAUUUGAACGCUUUCCUUGAUGCAUUAGGCUCAAAUUUCAGCCAUGGUGCCAAUUUCGCGACUGCCGGUUCAACCAUUAGACCCCAAAACACGACUUUACAUCAGAGCGGUUUUAGUCCCUUUUCAUUAAACGUACAAUAUUAUCAAUUCAAUGAUUUUCAACAUAGAUCUCAGAUUAUCCGAAGUAAAGGUAGUUAUUAGCCUUUAAUUACCACGAUUUUUCGGUUAAUUAAUUUACUUAAAUGUCUACUUUCUUAAGCAAUCUCGACAGAACAUGUUAGAAGGGUAAACCAAAACUAACGUGGCAUGCAGUAGUAAUCAAAUUGUUCUUUUUGUGUCAUUAUGAAGGGGGAGUUUUUAAGGGAUUAUUGCCUAAGGACGUUGAUUUUUCGCGCGCCUUGUACACAUUUGAUAUUGGCCAGAAUGAUUUAAGUUCUGGUUAUUUCUCCAACAUGAGCACUGAUCAAGUCAGAGCAUAUGUUCCUGAUGUACUAGAUCAAUUCAAAACCAUUAUUAAGGUAAAGAUAUAUAACAUUCUGAAUUCGAUUCUUGUCACCCGUGUUUAAUAUACGCGCGUGAGUAGUUUAUCAACGAUCCAGCAAAUUUUUUGUCUUUGUUUUGUGCAGCAUAUAUAUGAUAACGGAGGUAGGUCGUUUUGGAUACACAACACUGGACCGGUUGGUUGUCUACCGUACAUUCUGGACCGUAUUCCAAUCACUGCCGGACAAAUUGAUAAGGCUGGAUGCGUGGGUCCUUUUAACGAGGUGGCUCAAUAUUUCAACCGUGGGUUGAAGAAGGCUGUGAUUCGUUUCCGAAAGGAUCUUCCAUUAGCAGCCUUUACUUAUGUUGAUGUCUAUUCUGUCAAGUACAAGUUAAUCAGUCAAGCAGAGAAGUAUGGUUAGUCACUGAACUUGUCUAGUUGUUUUGCUUGGUAAAAUUAGUCACAGAACAUUCAUUUCGAUUUUAGUUUAGGCAUUGUGCAAGCUAGAUUGACGAAAACAGCAUCGAUAAUGGCAAUGGUUGUUGGGGGAGGAGAACCGCACUCGAGAAAAAGAUUGUCACAUCGGCAAUUCUUUUUAUUUAGCUGGAAUGUCUAAAAUGAAAAUCUGGUGACCAAGUCAUUAGUACUUGUAAAAAAAUUGUUGCGAAAGCAAAACAACAACACAAGUUAUGUGACUAACAUAUUUAUACCCGCUCCUUUACCUUCCGCAAAAUCAAGAUUUAAAUUUCAAAGCACGGUGGACUAACAACGAAGAAAAAAAAGUUAAAAUUUGGUCUAUUGUUCUAUUAAGCACGGCAUAUUGACCAUGCUCCAAAUGUUUACAGGGUUCGUCCACCCUCUACGAGCUUGUUGUGGGCAUGGAGGGAGAUACAACUACAAUGUACACUAUGGUUGUGGAAGCAAAAUGAAAGUGAAUGGGAAAGAAGUAAUGGUGGGAAAAUCAUGCAAGGAUCCAUCAGUUGUAAUUAAUUGGGAUGGAGUACACUAUACUGAGGCAGCAAACAAAUGGGUUUUUGAUCAAAUUGUGAAUGGCUCGUUUUCAGAUCCACCAAUUCCCUUGAAAAUGGCUUGCCAUAGGCAAUAAUAAGCUAAUGAAAAUUCUCGUUUUUAUGUUAAGGCAGUGCAUUUUCUUACUGCUAAAUAAGAGGAAUGCAGCUUUUGAAAUCUGUAUGGCUUCAUUCUUGAAUCUUUAUGAUUUCAAGAAUUAGAAUGUAUUAACUUAUUUAUGAUAAUUUGAUGUUUUGAUUCAAGACGUGAUUUGGAG
Molecule: long non-coding RNA, 2305 nt
Filed under: Olea europaea subsp. europaea
Lineage: Eukaryota; Viridiplantae; Streptophyta; Magnoliopsida; Lamiales; Oleaceae
Source: RNAcentral